CCCUGGGUGGUGGAAAUGGUUAACGCAUUGGCUGCCAACCAAAAGAUUGGAGUUUCAACUCCAUCCAGAGA
This 71-nucleotide transfer RNA is filed under the name Loxodonta africana (African savanna elephant). It matches the Rfam family "tRNA". From Rfam's summary of the family: Transfer RNA (tRNA) molecules are approximately 80 nucleotides in length. The record is from Rfam by way of RNAcentral. Lineage: Eukaryota; Metazoa; Chordata; Mammalia; Proboscidea; Elephantidae.